Molecule: ribosomal RNA, 207 nt
Filed under: uncultured bacterium
Lineage: Bacteria
Description: partial 16S ribosomal RNA
Rfam family: Bacterial small subunit ribosomal RNA
Source: RNAcentral
CGCGCAGGCGGUGAUUUAGGCAGGAUGUGAAAGGCUACGGCUCAACCGUAGACAUGCACCCUGAACUGGGUCACUUGAGUAUUGGAGAGGCAGGCAGAAUUCCUGGUGUAGCGGUGAAAUGCGUAGAUAUCAGGAGGAAUACCGGAGGCGAAGGCGGCCUGCUGGACAAAUACUGACGCUGAGGCGCGAAAGCGUGGGGAGCAAACA